This 69-nucleotide transfer RNA is filed under the name Tropidurus etheridgei. RNAcentral describes it as "tRNA-Trp". It matches the Rfam family "tRNA". From Rfam's summary of the family: Transfer RNA (tRNA) molecules are approximately 80 nucleotides in length. Their secondary structure includes four short double-helical elements and three loops (D, anti-codon, and T loops). Lineage: Eukaryota; Metazoa; Chordata; Lepidosauria; Squamata; Tropiduridae. The record is from RNAcentral.
AGAAACUUAGGAUAAUACUAAACCAAGGGCCUUCAAAGUCCUAAAUAGGGAUCAACCCCCUAGUUUCUG